This 2932-nucleotide ribosomal RNA is filed under the name Colwellia sp. M166. RNAcentral describes it as "23S ribosomal RNA". It matches the Rfam family "Bacterial large subunit ribosomal RNA". The record is from RNAcentral. Lineage: Bacteria; Pseudomonadati; Pseudomonadota; Gammaproteobacteria; Alteromonadales; Colwelliaceae.
GUUGUAUGGUUAAGUGAUUAAGCGUAUGUGGUGGAUGCCUUGGCAGUUAGAGGCGAUGAAGGACGUGUUAAUCUGCGAAAAGCUUUGGUGAGGUGAUAAAAACCGUUAUAGCCAAAGAUAUCCGAAUGGGGAAACCCACCCGUCGUAAGGCGGGUAUCAUUAAGUGAAUACAUAGCUUAAUGAGGCGAACCGGGAGAACUGAAACAUCUAAGUACCCCGAGGAAAAGAAAUCAACCGAGAUUUCCUUAGUAGCGGCGAGCGAACGGGAAUUAGCCCUUAAGUGGUUUGUAAGUUAGUGGAAUCUACUGGAAAGUAGAACGAUACAGGGUGAUAGUCCCGUACACGAAAAUAAACUUAUCAUGAAAUCGAGUAGGUCGGCACACGUGAAACGUUGACUGAACAUGGGGGGACCAUCCUCCAAGGCUAAAUACUCCUAACUGACCGAUAGUGAACCAGUACCGUGAGGGAAAGGCGAAAAGAACCCCUGUGAGGGGAGUGAAAUAGAACCUGAAACCGCAUACGUACAAGCAGUGAGAGCUAGAUUUAGUCUAGUGAUUGCGUACCUUUUGUAUAAUGGGUCAGCGACUUAUAUUCUGUAGCAAGGUUAACCGAAUAGGGGAGCCGUAGCGAAAGCGAGUGUUAACUGCGCGUUUAGUUGCAGGGUAUAGACCCGAAACCCGGCGAUCUACCCAUGGGCAGGUUGAAGGUUGAGUAACAUCAACUGGAGGACCGAACACACGUAUGUUGAAAAAUGCGGUGAUGACUUGUGGGUCGGAGUGAAAGGCUAAUCAAGCCGGGAGAUAGCUGGUUCUCCCCGAAAUCUAUUUAGGUAGAGCCUCGCACGAACACCAUUGGGGGUAGAGCACUGUUAAGGCUAGGGGGUCAUCCCGACUUACCAACCCUUUGCAAACUCCGAAUACCAAUGAGUGAUAUGCGGGAGACACACUACGGGUGCUAACGUCCGUUGUGAAGAGGGAAACAACCCAGACCGCCAGCUAAGGUCCCAAAGUACUAGUUAAGUGGGAAACGAUGUGGAAAGGCAUAGACAGCUAGGAGGUUGGCUUAGAAGCAGCCAUCCUUUAAAGAAAGCGUAAUAGCUCACUAGUCGAGUCGGUCUGCGCGGAAGAUGUAACGGGGCUAAACUAGUCACCGAAGCUGCGGAUUUGAACUUAGGUUCAAGUGGUAGGGGAGCGUUCUGUAAGCCGUUGAAGGUGAGUUGUAAAGCUUGCUGGAGGUAUCAGAAGUGCGAAUGCUGACAUGAGUAACGAUAAGGGGAGUGAAAAACUCCCCCGCCGAAAGACCAAGGUUUCCUGUCCCAUGUUAAUCAGGGCAGGGUAAGUCGGCCCCUAAGGCGAGGCGGAAACGCGUAGUCGAUGGGAAACAGAUUAAUAUUUCUGUACUUCUAUAUAUUGCGAAGGAGGGACGGAGUAGGCUAGAUGAGCACGGCGUUGGUAGUCCGUGUGAAAGUAUGUAGGCGGGAAGUUUAGGUAAAUCCGGACUUCCACUUUAAUUAGUAACGCUGAGAUACGAGACGAGUCUCCAAGGAGAUGAAGUCAUUGAUGCCAUGCUUCCAGGAAAAGCUUCUAAGCUUCAGAUAUAUAGGAACCGUACCCCAAACCGACACAGGUGGUUAGGUAGAGAAUACUAAGGCGCUUGAGAGAACUCGGGUGAAGGAACUAGGCAAAAUAGUACCGUAACUUCGGGAGAAGGUACGCUCUCUAAUGUGAAUGACUUGCUCAGUAAGCAAUGGAGAGUCGAAGUAACCAGGUGGCUGGAACUGUUUAUUAAAAACACAGCACUGUGCAAAAUCGAAAGAUGACGUAUACGGUGUGACGCCUGCCCGGUGCCGGAAGGUUAAUUGAUUGGGUUAGUCCUCGGACGAAGCUCAUGAUCGAAGCCCCGGUAAACGGCGGCCGUAACUAUAACGGUCCUAAGGUAGCGAAAUUCCUUGUCGGGUAAGUUCCGACCUGCACGAAUGGCGUAAUCAUGGCCACACUGUCUCCACCCGAGACUCAGUGAAAUUGAAAUUGCGGUUAAGAUGCCGUAUACCCGCGGCUAGACGGAAAGACCCCGUGAACCUUUACUAUAGCUUGACAGUGAACAUUGCUCCUACAUGUGUAGGAUAGGUGGGAGGCUUUGAAACCAUGUCGCUAGAUGUGGUGGAGCCAACCUUGAAAUACCACCCUUGUAUGCGUGAUGUUCUAACCUAGGGCCCUUAUCGGGCUUGGGGACACUGUCUGGUGGGUAGUUUGACUGGGGCGGUCUCCUCCUAAAGAGUAACGGAGGAGCACGAAGGUUGGCUAAGUACGGUCGGACAUCGUACGGUUAGUGCAAUGGCAUAAGCCAGCUUAACUGCGAGACAGACACGUCGAGCAGGUACGAAAGUAGGUCAUAGUGAUCCGGUGGUUCUGUAUGGAAGGGCCAUCGCUCAACGGAUAAAAGGUACUCCGGGGAUAACAGGCUGAUACCGCCCAAGAGUUCAUAUCGACGGCGGUGUUUGGCACCUCGAUGUCGGCUCAUCACAUCCUGGGGCUGAAGUCGGUCCCAAGGGUAUGGCUGUUCGCCAUUUAAAGUGGUACGCGAGCUGGGUUUAGAACGUCGUGAGACAGUUCGGUCCCUAUCUGCCGUGGGCGUUUGAGAAUUGAAGAGGGCUGCUCCUAGUACGAGAGGACCGGAGUGGACGAACCGCUGGUGUUCGGGUUGUUAUGCCAAUAGCAUUGCCCGGUAGCUACGUUCGGAACUGAUAACCGCUGAAAGCAUCUAAGCGGGAAGCAGGCUUUGAGAUGAGUUCUCACUGGAGCUUUAAGCUCCCUAAAGGGUCGUUGGAGACUACAACGUUGAUAGGUUGGGUGUGGAAGUGCUGCGAGGCAUUGAGCUAACCAAUACUAAUUACCCGUGAGGCUUAACCAUACAACACCCAAGUGGUUUUGAG